This 985-nucleotide ribosomal RNA is filed under the name uncultured bacterium. Its description in RNAcentral is "bacterial SSU rRNA". It matches the Rfam family "Bacterial small subunit ribosomal RNA", at positions 8 to 1035 of the family's 1533-position model. The record is from RNAcentral.
AGAGUUUGAUCCUGGCUCAGAACGAACGCUGGCGGCAGGCCUAAAACAUGCAAGUCGAGCGCCCUAGCAAUAGGGAGCGGCGCACGGGUGAGUAACACGUGGGAAUAUGCCUUUUGGUACGGAAUAGCUUCGGGAAACUGGAAUUAAUACCGUAUGGUCCCUUCGGGGUAAAGAUUUAUCGCCAAAAGAGUAGCCCGCGUUGGAUUAGCUAGUUGGUAGGGUAAUGGCCUACCAAGGCGACGAUCCAUAGCUGGUCUGAGAGGACGAUCAGCCACACUGGGACUGAGACACGGCCCAGACUCCUACGGGAGGCAGCAGUUAGGAAUAUUGGACAAUGGGCGCAAGCCUGAUCCAGCCAUGCCGCGUGAGUGAUGAAGGCCUUCGGGUUGUAAAGCUCUUUAGUCCACGAAUAUAAUGACUGUAGUGGAAGAAUAAGCCCCGGCUAACUUCGUGCCAGCAGCCGCGGUAAUACGAGGGGGGCGAGCGUUGUUCGGAAUCACUGGGCGUAAAGAGUGCGUAGGCGGCCAUGAAAGUUAGAAGUGAAAGCCCAGGGCUUAACCUUGGAAUUGCUUUUAAAACUACAUGGCUCGAAUUCGGGAGAGGAUAGCGGAAUUCUCAGUGUAGCAGUGAAAUGCGUAGAUAUUGAGAGGAACACCAGUGGCGUAAGCGGCUAUCUGGACCGACAUUGACGCUGAGGCACGAAAGCGUGGGGAUCAAACAGGAUUAGAUACCCUGGUAGUCCACGCCGUAAACGAUGUGUGUUUGUCGCUGGGGAGUUCACUCUUCGGUGACGGAGCUAACGCGUUAAACACACCGCCUGGGAAGUACGGUCGCAAGAUUAAAACUCAAAGGAAUUGACGGGGACCCGCACAAGCGGUGGAGUAUGUGGUUUAAUUCGUCGCAACGCGAAGAACCUUACCAGGCCUUGACAUGCCCUCUAUGAUGCUCAGAGAUGAGCGUCUUCACUUCGGGUGGGGAGGGACAC